UGGGGAAUAUUGGGCAAUGGGCGCAAGCCUGACCCAGCGACGCCGCGUGUGGGAAGAAGUCUUUCGGGACGUAAACCCAUGUUGUACGGGACGAAGGAAUUGACGGUACCGUACGAGGAAGCCCCGGCAAACUACGUGCCAGCAGCCGCGUUAAUACGUAGGGGGCGAGCGUUUUCCGGAAUCACUGGGCGUAAAGCGCACGUAGGCGGGCUGUUAAGUCGGCCGUGAAAUACACUGGCUCAACCGGUGCAGGUCGGUCGAUACUGGAGGUCUGGAGUAUGGGAGAGGGAA
RNAcentral lists this ribosomal RNA (291 nucleotides) under uncultured bacterium. RNAcentral describes it as "partial 16S ribosomal RNA". It matches the Rfam family "Bacterial small subunit ribosomal RNA", at positions 355 to 660 of the family's 1533-position model. The record is from RNAcentral.